CCCUUAGAGUUUGAUCCUGGCUCAGGACGAACGCUGGCGGCGCGCCUAACACAUGCAAGUCGAACGAGAGAUGAGGAGCUUGCUCUUCAAAUCGAGUGGCGAACGGGUGAGUAACGCGUGAGGAACCUGCCUCAAAGAGGGGGACAACAGUUGGAAACGACUGCUAAUACCGCAUAAGCCCACGGCUCGGCAUCGAGCAGAGGGAAAAGGAGUGAUCCGCUUUGAGAUGGCCUCGCGUCCGAUUAGCUAGUUGGUGAGGUAACGGCCCACCAAGGCGACGAUCGGUAGCCGGACUGAGAGGUUGAACGGCCACAUUGGGACUGAGACACGGCCCAGACUCCUACGGGAGGCAGCAGUGGGGAAUAUUGCACAAUGGGGGAAACCCUGAUGCAGCGACGCCGCGUGGAGGAAGAAGGUCUUCGGAUUGUAAACUCCUGUUGUUGAGGAA
RNAcentral lists this ribosomal RNA (448 nucleotides) under uncultured bacterium. RNAcentral describes it as "bacterial SSU rRNA". It matches the Rfam family "Bacterial small subunit ribosomal RNA", at positions 1 to 446 of the family's 1533-position model. The record is from RNAcentral.